UAGUGGCGGACGGCUGAGUAACGCGUAGGUGACCUACCCCGAAGUGGGGAAUAACUGCCCGAAAGGGUGGCUAAUACCGCAUGCGGUGAUGCGUUCGUUCACAUCAUCAAAGCCGCAAGGCGCUUCGGGAGGGGCCUGCGUCCGAUUAGCUCGUUGGUGGGGUAACGGCUCACCAAGGCGACGAUCGGUAGGUGGUCUGAGAGGAUGAUCACCCAGACUGGGACUGAGACACGGCCCAGACUCCUACGGGAGGCAGCAGUCGGGAAUUUUGCUCAAUGGGCGAAAGCCUGAAGCAGCAACGCCGCGUGAGGGAUGAAGGCCUUCGGGUUGUAAACCUCUUUUGUCAGGGAAGAUGAUGACGGUACCUGACGAAUAAGUCACGGCUAACUACGUGCCAGCAGCCGCGGUAAUACGUAGGUGACGAGCGUUGUCCGGAUUUACUGGGCGUAAAGAGCGCGCAGGCGGUCGUUCAAGUCGAGUGUGAAAGCCCCCGGCUCAACUGGGGAGGGUCACGCGAUACUGAUCGACUCGAAGGCAGGAGAGGGUAGUGGAAUUCCCGGUGUAGUGGUGAAAUGCGUAGAUAUCGGGAGGAACACCAGUGGCGAAGGCGACUACCUGGCCUGUUCU
This 627-nucleotide ribosomal RNA is filed under the name uncultured bacterium. Its description in RNAcentral is "bacterial SSU rRNA". It matches the Rfam family "Bacterial small subunit ribosomal RNA", at positions 93 to 740 of the family's 1533-position model. The record is from RNAcentral.